GCAGCCAUGGCGGAACUGGUAGACGCGUACGUUUGAGGGGCGUAUGGUAAUCCCGUGUGAGUUCAAGUCUCACUGGCUGCACCA
This 84-nucleotide transfer RNA is filed under the name Bacillota bacterium. RNAcentral describes it as "Firmicutes bacterium tRNA-Leu". It matches the Rfam family "tRNA". Rfam says of the family: Transfer RNA (tRNA) molecules are approximately 80 nucleotides in length. Their secondary structure includes four short double-helical elements and three loops (D, anti-codon, and T loops). Lineage: Bacteria; Bacillati; Bacillota. RNAcentral also lists the same sequence under 2 other names. The record is from RNAcentral.